Molecule: long non-coding RNA, 621 nt
Filed under: Phaseolus vulgaris (common bean)
Lineage: Eukaryota; Viridiplantae; Streptophyta; Magnoliopsida; Fabales; Fabaceae
Description: long non-coding RNA (PVUL_LNC004628)
Source: RNAcentral
CUAAUUGAAAUUCUACCAGCCAUGGCCUCUUACUGCUGCACCAGUUUUGCUUUAAUCAUUGCUAUUUCCUUUUCAACCAUGGACAUAGCAUUACCAGCACGAGCAAUUCGGCUACCUGGAUUAACUUUACCUGAAUUACCACCUCUACCUUCAGUCACAUUGCCAACUCUACCUCCAGUCUCAUUGCCACAUCUAAGAGUACCACCUCUACCUUCAGUCACAUUGCCAACUCUACCUCCAGUCUCAUUGCCACCUCUAAGAGUACCACCUCUACCUUCAGUCACAUUGCCAACUCUACCUCCAGUCUCAUUGCCACCUCUAAGAGUACCACCUCUACCUUCAGUCACAUUGCCAACUCUACCUCCAGUCUCAUUGCCACCUCUAAGAGUACCACCUCUACCUUCAGUCACAUUGCCAACUCUACCUCCAGUCUCAUUGCCACCUCUACCUCCAGUCACAUUGCCACCUCUUCCACCUGUUCCAGGUUUGCCAUCUCUACCACCGGUUUUGCCAUCUCUACCACCUCUUCCAGUUUUGCCACCUCUUUCUUAAGGGCAUAGCCAUCUUCGCGCACUCUUCCUAAUAUCCAACCACUUUACAUCCCAUUCCUUUCUCCACCAC